RNAcentral lists this ribosomal RNA (403 nucleotides) under Verrucomicrobiota bacterium. Its description in RNAcentral is "Verrucomicrobia bacterium partial 16S ribosomal RNA". It matches the Rfam family "Bacterial small subunit ribosomal RNA", at positions 355 to 776 of the family's 1533-position model. Lineage: Bacteria; Pseudomonadati; Verrucomicrobiota. The record is from RNAcentral.
UGGGGAAUAUUGCACAAUGGGCGCAAGCCUGAUGCAGCAACGCCGCGUGAACGAUGAAGGUCUUCGGAUCGUAAAGUUCUGUUGCAGGGGAAGAUAAUGACGGUACCCUGUGAGGAAGCCCCGGCUAACUACGUGCCAGCAGCCGCGGUAAUACGUAGGGGGCUAGCGUUAUCCGGAUUUACUGGGCGUAAAGGGUGCGUAGGUGGUCUUUCAAGUCGGUGGUUAAAGGCUACGGCUCGACCGUAGUUAGCCUCCGAAACUGGAAGACUUGAGUGCAGGAGAGGAAAGUGGAAUUCCCAGUGUAGCGGUGAAAUGCGUAGAUAUUGGGAGGAACACCAGUAGCGAAGGCGGCUUUCUGGACUGCAACUGACACUGAGGCACGAAAGCGUGGGUAGCAAACAGG